This 254-nucleotide ribosomal RNA is filed under the name uncultured bacterium. Its description in RNAcentral is "partial 16S ribosomal RNA". It matches the Rfam family "Bacterial small subunit ribosomal RNA", at positions 74 to 334 of the family's 1533-position model. The record is from RNAcentral.
CAAACCAAAGCUGGCGGCCGGCGCACGGGUGAGUAACACGUAUCCAACCUGCCUCAUACUCGGGGAUAGCCUUUCGAAAGAAAGAUUAAUAUCCGAUAGCAUAUAUUUCCCGCAUGGGUUUUAUAUUAAAGAAAUUCGGUAUGAGAUGGGGAUGCGUUCCAUUAGUUUGUUGGGGGGUAACGGCCCACCAAGACUACGAUGGAUAGGGGUUCUGAGAGGAAGGUCCCCCACAUUGGAACUGAGACACGGUCCAA